Molecule: long non-coding RNA, 2327 nt
Organism: Oncorhynchus kisutch (coho salmon)
Lineage: Eukaryota; Metazoa; Chordata; Actinopteri; Salmoniformes; Salmonidae
Source: Ensembl
UGUUGAUCAUGUGGUGUCUCUGCAAGGGCUUAGUAACAAUAGUUUUGAUUUUCACUUCUCAGACCAAGAGAUAAACGUGUCAGGAUUAAGUGGUUCCAGUUUAUAUAAUGUCGCACUUUUUGCAUUUCUGUCUUCUGUAAUCUCUUUUAUCCCAACACAUGAUACAUUUCUGUCUUUUGUAAUCUCUUUUAUCCUAACACAUGAUACAUUUCUGUCUUCUGUAAUCUCUUUUAUCCCAACACAUAAUACAUUUCUGUCUUCUGUAAUCUCUUUUAUCCCAACACAUGAUACAUUUCUGUCUUCUGUAAUCUCUUUUAUCCCAACACAUGAGACAUUUCUGUCUUUUGUAAUCUCUUUUAUCCCAACACAUGAUGCAUUUCUGUCUUCUGUAAUCUCUUUUAUCCCAAAACAUGAUACAUUUCUGUCUUCUGUAAUCUCUUUUAUCCCAAAACAUGAUACAUUUCUGUCUUCUGUAAUCUCUUUUUUCCCAACACAUGAUACAUUUCUGUCUUCUGUAAUCUAUUUUAUCCCAACACAUGAUACAUUUCUGUCUUCUGUAAUCUCUUUUAUCCCAAAACAUGAUACAUUUCUGUCUUCUGUAAUCUCUUUUAUCCCAACACGUGAUGCAUUUCUGUCUUCUGUAAUCUCUUUUAUCCCAAAACAUGAUACAUUUCUGUCUUCUUUAAUCUCUUUUUUCCCAACACAUGAUACAUUUCUGUCUUCUGUAAUCUAUUUUAUCCCAACACAUGAUACAUUUCUGUCUUCUGUAAUCUCUUUUAUCCCAAAACAUGAUACAUUUCUGUCUUCUGUAAUCUCUUUUAUCCCAACACAUGAUGCAUUUCUGUCUUCUGUAAUCUCUUUUAUCCCAACACAUGAUACAUUUCUGUCUUCUGUAAUCUCUUUUAUCCCAAAACAUGAUACAUUUCUGUCUUCUGUAAUCUCUUUUAUCCCAAAACAUGAUACAUUUCUGUCUUCUGUAAUCUCUUUUAUCCCAAAACAUGAUACAUUUCUGUCUUCUGUAAUCUCUUUUAUCCUAACACAUGAUACAUUUCUGUCUUCUGUAAUCUCUUUUAUCCCAACACAUAAUACAUUUCUGUCUUCUGUAAUCUCUUUUAUCCCAACACAUGAUACAUUUCUGUCUUCUGUAAUCUCUUUUAUCCCAACACAUGAGACAUUUCUGUCUUCUGUAAUCUCUUUUAUCCCAACACAUGAUACAUUUCUGUCUUCUGUAAUCUCUUUUAUCCCAACACAUGAUACAUUUCUGUCUUCUGUAAUCUCUUUUAUCCCAACACAUGAUACAUUUCUGUCUUCUGUAAUCUCUUUUAUCCCAACACAUGAUGCAUUUCUGUCUUCUGUAAUCUCUUUUAUCCCAACACAUGAUACAUUUCUGUCUUCUGUAAUCUCUUUUAUCCCAACACAUGAUACAUUUCUGUCUUCUGUAAUCUCUUUUAUUCCAACACAUGAUGCAUUUCUGUCUUCUGUAAUCUCUUUUAUCCCAAAACAUGAUACAUUUCUGUCUUCUGUAAUCUCUUUUAUCCCAACACAUGAUACAUUUCUGUCUUCUGUAAUCUCUUUUAUCCCAACACAUGAUACAUUUCUGUCUUCUGUAAUCUCUUUUAUCCCAACACAUGAUACAUUUCUGUCUUCUGUAAUUAUCCCAACAUAUGAUACAUUUCUGUCUUCUGUAAUCUCUUUUAUCCCAACACAUGAUACAUUUCUGUCUUCUGUAAUCUCUUUUAUCCCAACACAUGAUACAUUUCUGUCUUCUGUAAUCUCUUUUAUCCCAACACAUGAUACAUUUCUGUCUUCUGUAAUUAUCCCAACACAUGAUACAUUUCUGUCUUCUGUAAUCUCUUUUAUCCCAACACAUGAUGCAUUUCUGUCUUCUGUAAUCUCUUUUAUCCCAACACAUGAUACAUUUCUGUCUUCUGUAAUCUCUUUUAUCCCAAAACAUGAUACAUUUCUGUCUUCUGUAAUCUCUUUUAUCCCAACACAUGAUACAUUUCUGUCUUCUGUAAUCUCUUUUAUCCCAACACGAAACAUUUCUGAAAUCCUCAAGAUAAUAAUAUAACAACAAAGUGUGAAUUGAAUUGUAAUUGUGGUACAAUUGGAUCUGUAAUAAUGGUGCCCCAGUUGAUCUAACCUGCUGCCCCAGUUGAUCUAACCUGCUGCCCCAGUUGAUCUAACCUGCUGCCCCAGUUGACCAAAUGCGGAAGAAAAAUGUGGUUUUGGCUCAGUGUACACAAAUGGGUGUGUCAUGCCUCAUGUGAAUAUGAUACCAACAUUUGUCCUUUUUGUGUGAUUAGGAAACAUUUUGAUGAUUUCAG